This 1174-nucleotide unclassified non-coding RNA is filed under the name Hevea brasiliensis (rubber tree). Lineage: Eukaryota; Viridiplantae; Streptophyta; Magnoliopsida; Malpighiales; Euphorbiaceae. The record is from RNAcentral.
AUAGAAAUGGUACAAUGUCUGUUUGACACACAAAGCUAAAUGUGCUUGUCUACAAAAUUGUCGUUCCAACUAGUUUGAGAGGUCAAGAAAAUUGAAUAACAGAUGACAAUAGCUCUCCUAAAAGCAGUUGUUGCCAAGGUCCUGCCUAAGAAAAUAGGGAAGCUCUUUUAACAGUGACAUAAUAUCCUAAAGCAUGUCAACCAAUACCGCAAAGUGUGAUGUAGAUCAAGAUUGGCAGCUCAAUGAUAUAUGAGAUGGUGCACCGCUUAAGAAAUCACAUUAGCCAGACCUCCACAGAGAACUUUGGUUAUAUUACUUGCUCAAAGUAUUCAUUCCCAAGUCAAAAUUUUGACAGUAUUCACACAUGAGAUUGAUCACAUAUUCAGUGAGGGUAGAAGGGAAAUACUCUUCUUCAGGGUUUUCCGUGCUCGCCAGUGAAUGGCUGCUGCAGUUUCUGAUGUUCCCAACUUGACUUCCAUAUUAUAAUAGUCUUGCCACAAUCUGACAUCUUGAUCAUAAGUUGUAAGUGAAGUUUCAAAUAGUUUUCGCACAUUUCCAAGACUAAUCUUAUCUCCACUAGACGCAAGGUUCAAUUCCAGCUCAAUGCAAUUCCUGUACAAAGAAAGUCCUGGAUGCGGUAAAGCAAGAAAUCUCUUAUACAACUCUCUAGCACUCCCAAGUCCAUCCCUUUGCAGAACAAAAUUGACGAUGGUAGCAGAGAGGGAAAAACCAUCAUCACUUCCACCAUCUUUGGCCAGUAAAGAUAUAGAAGUCUCAACCAACUUGUCAAAGAAUUUCUUAUGAGUGGAAAAAUAUUUGAGCGCCAUAAGCCAUAUAGUUUCUGCUUCUGAUAUGGGAAGUUUCAACAAAGCAUUUCUCAUGGGUUCAAAGAUAGAAGACAGAGCUGCCUUAUUUGGAGUACAGUUCUUCUGGAUAAAUCUCAUUUCUAUUGAGAAUCGUAAAGUCCAUAGCUGCACUGCUUCUGAAAAUUUUCCAGAACACAAUUUCUCCGCCAAAGUCUUAGCUUCAUCUACUUUCCCAAGUUGCAGUAGAAAAGAAACAUGCUGGCAAGCAAGAUCUUCUGUGAUGCACCCCAUGGUUUCAGCCUUUUCAUAUACUACCAAGAGAUGUGAAAUAGGAUCCAUAGCAUGACUAGCUGUACUGAAAAGCUCAG